UUAAGGGUAGUGUGGGUCAUGUAAAGGUGACCUGCAGACUAACCUGAGCAGGUAAAGCGAUAAACCUGCUUUUUGUAUAACGUAUAAACAUGUGUGUGGGUGAUAAUAGUGGCUAUCGCUGUUUGUGGAUCAGUGAGGAUGGAGGCUGUGAAGCGGUGGAGGGCAGGAUGGGGCUAGCCCACCACUCUGCUGUGCAUCUAUGGGUUCUGCGGUACUGUGAAACCUCUUGUACCCUUCAUCUACCCUUACCUGACUGGUCCAAACAAAAACCUGAUGGUGGAACAGCCAUCGCUGUCAUUUUCAUUGAGGGGUGUGUACAUGAUUAUGAGAGGGUGGUAAAGCCACAGCGACUCCAUCACUGCAGAGGAGCCUCCAACCCCAACCCUGUGUACACCACUGCAGAGGAGUCUCCAAGCCCAACCCUGUGUACACCACUGCAGAGGAGCCUCCAAGCCCAACCCUGUGUACACCACUGCAGAGGAGCCUCCAAGCCCAACCCUGUGUACACCACUGCAGAGGAUCCUCCAAGCCCAACCCUGUGUACACCACUGCAGAGGAGCCUCCAAGCCCAACCCUGUGUACACCACUGCAGAGGAGCCUCCAAGCCCAAACCUGUGUACACCACUGCAGGGGAGCCUCCAAGCCCAACCCUGUGUACAACACUGCAGAGGAGCCUCCAAGCCCAACCCUGUGUACACCACUGCAGAGGAGCCUCCAAGCCCAACCCUGUGUACACCACUGCAGAGGAGCCUCCAAGCCCAACCCUGUGUACACCACUGCAGAGGAGCCUCCAAGCCCAACCCUGUGUACACCACUGCAAGCUUGAACAUGUAGUGGACCAAAAAGAAGAACCCAAAGUAGAAGUGUUUUUAUCUGACCACAGACAAUAAUCUGUCCAAAACUGAGGAGGGCAAGGUGUCUCACCAAACUUUUACUUUAAAUUCUAACGUCAUGGUGCUCUAUAUACUUGCAUUUAUAAACAAAAUAAAAGUUGACACAGACUGGUCAUAGACAUUCAACCUCUAGUUUUGAUUUACAUUUGGUUGAGUUGUCAACUAAAUGUGAAUUCAAACUUAAAUCAACAACAAAUGUCACCAAGUUUAGGUUAAGAGUUGAGUAGAGAAUAAAUAAUUAAAUGCCCUUUUUACAAAUCCAAUAAGUUUUCCAUGUUGAUUCAACAUCAGCAGUGGAGAAGGUGAAAAGCUUCAUGUUCCUCGGCGUACACAUCACUGGCAAUCUGAUAUGAUCCACCCACACAGGCAGUGUGGUGAAGAAGGUGCAACAGCGCCUUUUCAACCUCAGGAGGCUGAAGAAUUUUGGCUUGGCACAGAAGACAUUCAUAAAAUUCUACAGAUACAGCAUUGUGUACAGCGCCACCCAGAAGCUCCUCGACCCGUUUCAGUUUGCCUAUCAGCCCAGCAGAGGAGUUGAUGAUGCCAUUCUUAAUCUCUUCGACAUGGUCUAUAGAGAUCUAGAGGGUGCCAAAUUCCAUGACUUUUCUUCUGCCUUCAACACAAUCCAGCCUUACAUUCUGGCACAGAGAUUCAUUAGGGACUACUCCUUAGAUGGGGGGCUGGUUUUGUGGCUGUUGGACUUCCUGAGCCAGAGGUCACAGUGGGUCAGUUCCCAUCCUGACAGACACCUCGUUAAGUUUGCUGAUGACACUGCCUUGAUCAGCCUGUUGCAUGAUGAUGAGGAACACCAUGGCCCGGUCCUAAAUGAGAGUUGAGAUAAAUGAGAGUUGUGUGACCAAUCACACUUGGUCCUCAAUACCAACAAGACCAAAGUGAUGUGCAUAGACUUCAGGAAGUGUACAACACCUACCUCUGCAACAUCUAUCAGAGGUCAGAACAUAGAGAUUGUAGAGGAAUACAAAUAUCUGGGUGUCGUCUUGGACAAUAAGCUUCAGUAGAGUAAAUGUACAGACCUGAUCUACAACAGGAGUCAGCAGAGACUGUACUUUCUCAAAAAGCUGGGAUUUUUUCAUGUUGACUGGACUAUGAGAUUAUUUAAACUUUUUGUAUUGUUUGUUGGUUUGGCAAUGCCACUGUCAGCCAGAGAAAUAUGCUGAGAACGAUUAUCACCACAGCAAGCAAGGUACUUGGAGUCAAAUAGACAGGUCUGGAUGAGAUCUUUAAGUUCAGGGCCCUCUGCACAAAAUCAUUUUAGAACAAGCCACCCCCUGUACCCGGACUUUAAACUAAUCCCCUCUGGGUGCAGGAAUAGGGCACCCCUCGGCAGGAAAAACAGAACUAGACAAUCAUUUGUGAUAUCCCUCCUAAAUAGCUCGGCUAAUGUUCCUAUCGACCCAGUAAGGCCAGCAGGCUAGCCUCUUUUUAUUGGUAUGUAACUGUUAUGAAAGUUAUAUUGUCAAUUUGUUUUGUAUUUAAACGCCACUUUAAACAUGCACAUGACAUUGCAACAAAACAGAUCACCAGGGAAACACUUCCUGUCCUCCAGGACAUCUACAGCACUGGGUGUCACAGGAAGGCCAAGAAGAUUAUGAAGGACCUCAGCCACAGCUUGAUCACCCGCUACCAUCCAGAAGGCGAGGUCAGUGGAGGUGGAUCAAAGCUGGGACCAAGAGACUGAAGAACAGCUUCUAUCUCAAUGCCACCAGCCUGCCUCCGCUCGGUACCCUGCCCUGAACUUUAGUCACUGUCACUAGCCGGCUACCACCCGGUACACAACCCUGCACCUUAGAGGGUGCUGCCCUAUGUACAUAGCCAUGGGACAUUGGUUACUUUAAUACAGUUUAUGUAUAUACUGUAUUCUAGUCAAGGCCUACCCUAUUAACUAUUGCUGUAAAUAUACUAUUCUAUCCUAAGUAUUCUACAGAAAUACUACAUAGUAUAUACAUAUGAUGUCCAUAAUGUCUAUAUAUCCCAUCAUCUAUAUUUAUAUUUAUACUACGGACUCCGACAUUGGAGCUAGGAACACAAGAAUUUCGCUACACCCGCAAUAGCAUAUGCUAAAUAAACUCAGCAAAAAAAAGAAACGGCCCUUUUUCAGGACCCUGUCUUUUAAAGAUAAUUCGAAAAAAUCCAAAUAACUUCACAGAAAAGGGGUGUAAAGGGUUUAAUGAUCCUCACUAAUCGUGGAACUGUGAUGACAGCAGUCCAGUCAUCGUGAACCAUGCGCCAGGCUCCAGGUUGAAACUGUUACGAAUGGUCUGCGUUCCAUAAUGAUUCAAAUAGGCUAGUCCCAAAUUAUUGCUGGUAAUACGUUAGCCUAAUAUGAUCCGCUAUUGCGAGCGAUCCUCAGGAACAGUCACACGAAUGUGACAGAUGAAAGGUAAACUAAUGAUGCGAUGGAAUGAUGCAAAAUGUACAGAAACUAACACUAACGUGAGUUCAAAAUGUAUUGGUAUAACUGACGAUGGCUACUGAUAGUGGCUAGUAUUUAACACCAUACAAAUUGGGAAAAGAAAACAGUGAAAAAUCCAGGCAUAUAAUUAAAACAUUGUAGAAAUCAUAAACUUGGUAGGUUUGGCACUAUGCUGUCAUUUGUGCAUGGCUACAGAAGUCUAUAGUUUUGGGUCUCCGAAAUUCAUCCCCGAAGAUUAUAAAGCCAGCAUUUCAUAAACCUCACUGUGGGUUAAAUUGAUAUGCUUCAGUUUUCUGCCAUAUGACUGGUUUUACAUUCAUUUUGUCUCCAGCAAUCAUAGGGUAAAAUACAUUUACAAUCCCCUUAUCCACACAAAUUCAUCAUUUACCUAGCGCUUAUCAAUUUGUAAGUUACAGUGCACGGAGAAUGGUGCUAUUUCUAUUGGAAAAAAUAAAGUAGGCCUAGAUGUUGCUCCACUUAGAACAGAUAGGUUGCUCGACAUUAUUCAUAGUUUCGUCACGCAUAAAGGUGGUGGAAUUGAGAGAGAAUUAAACCAAGGUCAGAAUACAGCACAUCUGUCGACACCUCUCUACCAAACCUACAUUUCUGUAAUCUCCACCCUGAACCCUGAUAGCUGGCUGAAACAUGUGGAGCAGAGAGAAAAGUUCCAUUAGCGUGCGUGUAACUUGGGUCUGAAUCGGCCCCAUGGUGUUGAUCUGUUUAUUCUAUUAAUUUUAGAUUGUGGGAUAUAACUGGAUCUAAAAAAAAAAAAUGGCCUGGGACGUGGACCCCUUUUUAGAUCUGAAACGUUACAAAAUUACCCUUUAAUAUUUGGUAGAGGGAAAAACAUGCCCCCUUUCCUUCCAGGUUCCAAAUUGCUACGGAGAUCUCCACGGAGAGAUAUGCACUGAUCUUCGGCGCAAACAACUUUGGGGCUUUGGUCCUUCAGACUAUCAUCACAGCCGUUGUGGUGGAUGGCAGAGGGCUCGGCUUGGGCAUCAUCCCACAGUUCACCAUUUAUGGAAGCUACUUCUCAGCCAUCCCUGUCAUUUUCUUUCUGAGGGGUGUGUAUAUGAUUAUGAGAGGGUGGCAAAGCAACAGACACUCCACCACUGCAGAGGAGCCUCCAAGUCUGAAAGACAGUGACACUGGCCCUGAACAAAGACUCUGACUGGGCCAUGUUCUGUAGGGGAGAAAACCUUUUGAAAACGGGGAGUUUCUACCAGAGUGUGUCCAAAAAGAAAGCUCAUUUUUGUUUUCGUUUGCACCAUUUUUUGGUAUAUUGUGCCCUACUGAAUUAAAGACACUGAUGACAG
RNA transcript from Oncorhynchus gorbuscha (pink salmon), 4643 nucleotides. RefSeq lists it as uncharacterized. NCBI's taxonomy places the organism in Eukaryota, Metazoa, Chordata, Actinopteri, Salmoniformes, Salmonidae. The transcript has 3 exons. The record is from RefSeq and is a predicted model, not a curated record.